CCCACAACCAAUUUUCUUGUGUCACACGUAUUUUAAGGAUCCCAAGAAAAAAGAAAAAUUAUCAUUUGCGCAGAUUCAUCCCCUAACCCUCUCUAUCCUAUAUCUUUUUUUCUGUUAAUUAAUAAUAAAGAAAAAGAAGAAGAGGAGCAGCAGCGCAGCAUGGCAGCUCCGUCUGCUCUGUAAUUAGCCCAGAGGAACCUUCCUUUAUUAGAAAACAAAAAACAAAAAAGCUCGAUCCCCUCGUCCUCUUCCUUAUCCCCUUCCUAUCCUCCUCCCGAUCCCGCUCUGCCUCGUCCCCCCCUGAGUGCAGCCUCCAGGAGAGGAGCGCUGCGUCCAUGAGCCUGCGCGUGCCACCAGCGCCGCCAUCUUCCCUCGCUCCGGCCAGUGAGCCAGACCGCGCCACCCUCCUUCCUCUUUCGUGCACCGUCCUGCAGCUUAGCCGAGCCGCGAACUCUGCUACACGCGGCCAUGGACGACUGCCUCCAGUCGUUCUCUGCUUCGGCCUCCCUCCUCUUAGCUCUUGCGCCGCACCAGUGGCUCUAUUUCGGUCGCCUGUCUCCCGCCAUGGCAGAGCGUCAUCUUCCUGCUUCGCCCGCGCGCGCCUCCCUGAUUCUCCCGUUGCCUCUGGCGACCUCGCCGGCUAGCAGCCGCCGGCCAUCGGCCUCCCCGUCCCCGUCGCCUCCUUCCUGCCAACUCCGGCCCCUACCUCGCUCCACCUCUUCCCGUGGUGUCCACCUCUGCUUCUGGCCAUGGCGCUGCUCACCUGCGCCUCCCCAACACCCCUGCUGCUGCCAAGUACCUCGGUCGAUGACGACAACCGCGACCCCUCCGGACGCCGGUCACCAGAGCAACCACACCAGCCGCUCCUGCCAUCUCUCCUUCUCCUCCCUCCCUCUGCCUUCUCUUUCCCUGCCUCACCGGCCGCCCCUGCCACCUCUCCUUUUCCUCCAUCUCUCUGCCUUCUCUGUCCCUGCCUCACCUCUCUCUCGAUCUCUCCAGGACGCCACCACCCGCUGACCCGGUAGGGAAUCAACCGCCUCUGGCCACAUCUUGACCGGAUCCGGUGACCCCGGAUGUCGUCGCCUUAGAUCCGCACGGCCCCGGCCUCCUCACCUCACCUGCAGCCGCCGCUAGAAGCC
RNAcentral lists this ribosomal RNA (1139 nucleotides) under Triticum aestivum (bread wheat). RNAcentral's name for it is "partial small subunit ribosomal RNA". Lineage: Eukaryota; Viridiplantae; Streptophyta; Magnoliopsida; Poales; Poaceae. The record is from RNAcentral.